Molecule: long non-coding RNA, 222 nt
Filed under: Sinocyclocheilus anshuiensis
Lineage: Eukaryota; Metazoa; Chordata; Actinopteri; Cypriniformes; Cyprinidae
Description: lncRNA (ENSSANG00000042151.1)
Source: RNAcentral
AGGAGAAGAAAAUCCCUGCGACUUGCUCGCUCAGAAGAAUAACCGUCAGCGACAGCAGCAGCGACCGUUCAGUUCCGCGAGACUCCGCACAAGGCGAAGACAAGCCCGGCGACAGCAUGGGAAAUGAGGCGAGUUAUCCCUUGGAGAUGUGCUCACACUUUUGGGCCUAUUAAAUGUUGUAUACCAGAGGUCCCCAACCACCGGGUCGCAACCCACUACCGG